RNAcentral lists this ribosomal RNA (403 nucleotides) under Verrucomicrobiota bacterium. Its description in RNAcentral is "Verrucomicrobia bacterium partial 16S ribosomal RNA". It matches the Rfam family "Bacterial small subunit ribosomal RNA", at positions 355 to 776 of the family's 1533-position model. Lineage: Bacteria; Pseudomonadati; Verrucomicrobiota. The record is from RNAcentral.
UGGGGAAUAUUGCACAAUGGGGGAAACCCUGAUGCAGCGACGCCGCGUGAGCGAAGAAGGUUUUCGAAUCGUAAAGCUCUGUCCUAUGAGAAGAUAAUGACGGUAUCAUAGGAGGAAGCCCCGGUUAAAUACGUGCCAGCAGCCGCGGUAAUACGUAUGGGGCGAGCGUUGUCCGGAAUUAUUGGGCGUAAAGGGUACGUAGGCGGUCUAUUAAGUCAGGUGUGAAAGCGUGAGGCUUAACCUCAUUAAGCACUUGAAACUGUUAGACUUGAGUGAAGGAGAGGAAAGUGGAAUUCCUAGUGUAGCGGUGAAAUGCGUAGAUAUUAGGAGGAAUACCGGUGGCGAAGGCGACUUUCUGGACUUUUACUGACGCUCAGGUACGAAAGCGUGGGGAGCAAACAGG